AGCCUAUGAUGGUUUCAGUAUGAGUAGUGGACAGAAGUGAUUUCUGAAAACUCCACGCUGAGGCU
Molecule: small nucleolar RNA, 65 nt
Organism: Phoenicopterus ruber ruber
Lineage: Eukaryota; Metazoa; Chordata; Aves; Phoenicopteriformes; Phoenicopteridae
Rfam family: Small nucleolar RNA SNORD75
About the family: U75 (SNORD75) belongs to the C/D class of snoRNAs which contain the C (UGAUGA) and D (CUGA) box motifs. Most of the members of the box C/D family function in directing site-specific 2'-O-methylation of substrate RNAs. This family includes the mouse orthologue Z19.
Source: Rfam